RNAcentral lists this ribosomal RNA (293 nucleotides) under uncultured eukaryote. RNAcentral describes it as "partial 18S ribosomal RNA". It matches the Rfam family "Eukaryotic small subunit ribosomal RNA", at positions 141 to 432 of the family's 1831-position model. The record is from RNAcentral.
GGUUGAUCCUGCCAGUAGAGCUAAUACAUGCGCAAAGUCCUGACUCGCGAGGGGAGGGAUGUAUUUAUUAGAUACAAAACCAAUGCGGGCUCUGCUCGCCAUUGUGUUGAAUCAUAGUAACUUAUCGGACGCCAUAGCCUUGUGCUGGGCGUAGAUCAUUCAAAUUUCUGCCCUAUCAGCUUUCGACGGUAGUGUAGUGGACUACCGUGGCGUUAACGGGUAACGGGGAAUUAGGGUUCGAUUCCGGAGAGGGAGCCUGAGAAACGGCUACCACAUCCAAGGAAGGCAGCAGG